GCCCAGAUAGCUCAGUUGGCAGAGCAUCAGACUUUUAAUCUGAGGGUCCAGGGUUCAAGUCCCUGUUUGGGCA
This 73-nucleotide transfer RNA is filed under the name Phalacrocorax carbo (great cormorant). It matches the Rfam family "tRNA". From Rfam's summary of the family: Transfer RNA (tRNA) molecules are approximately 80 nucleotides in length. Their secondary structure includes four short double-helical elements and three loops (D, anti-codon, and T loops). Further hydrogen bonds mediate the characteristic L-shaped molecular structure. tRNAs have two regions of fundamental functional importance: the anti-codon, which is responsible for specific mRNA codon recognition, and the 3' end, to which the tRNAs corresponding amino acid is attached (by aminoacyl-tRNA synthetases). tRNAs cope with the degeneracy of the genetic code in two manners: having more than one tRNA (with a specific anti-codon) for a particular amino acid; and 'wobble' base-pairing, i.e. permitting non-standard base-pairing at the 3rd anti-codon position. Lineage: Eukaryota; Metazoa; Chordata; Aves; Suliformes; Phalacrocoracidae. The record is from Rfam by way of RNAcentral.